This is a non-coding RNA of Acanthosepion pharaonis, 110 nucleotides long. NCBI's taxonomy places the organism in Eukaryota, Metazoa, Mollusca, Cephalopoda, Sepiida, Sepiidae. The record is from the annotation of a GenBank genome assembly.
GGCCAUAUGGCGUUGAAACACCGGUUCCUGUACAAUCACCAAAGUUAAGCAAUGCUGAGUGUGGUCAGUACCUAGAUGAGUAACUGUUUGGGAAUACCAGGUGCUGUAAG